AGCGAACGCUGGCGGCAGGCUUAACACAUGCAAGUCGAGCGGGCCUUUCGGGGUCAGCGGCGGACGGGUGAGUAACGCGUGGGAACGUGCCCUCAGGUUCGGAAUAACUCAGGGAAACUUGAGCUAAUACCGGAUACGCCCUUUUGGGGAAAGGCUUGCUGCCGGAGGAUCGGCCCGCGUCUGAUUAGCUAGUUGGUGAGGUAACGGCUCACCAAGGCGACGAUCAGUAGCUGGUCUGAGAGGAUGAUCAGCCACACUGGGACUGAGACACGGCCCAGACUCCUACGGGAGGCAGCAGUGGGGAAUAUUGGACAAUGGGCGCAAGCCUGAUCCAGCCAUGCCGCGUGAGUGAUGAAGGCCUUAGGGUUGUAAAGCUCUUUUAUCCGGGACGAUAAUGACGGUACCGGAGGAAUAAGCCCCGGCUAACUUCGUG
RNAcentral lists this ribosomal RNA (433 nucleotides) under uncultured bacterium. Its description in RNAcentral is "partial 16S ribosomal RNA". It matches the Rfam family "Bacterial small subunit ribosomal RNA", at positions 29 to 507 of the family's 1533-position model. The record is from RNAcentral.